UAUUCAUCCAGAGCAGUUGAAGGACUGGCCUUAUGACACUGCGGCAACCUCCCGUACGGGAAGGUGCCAAUUCCAGCAGGAUGUAUUCCUGACAGAUGAUAC
RNAcentral lists this non-coding RNA (102 nucleotides) under Megasphaera cerevisiae. RNAcentral describes it as "SAM-I sequence". It matches the Rfam family "SAM riboswitch aptamer (S box leader)". Rfam says of the family: The SAM riboswitch is found upstream of a number of genes which code for proteins involved in methionine or cysteine biosynthesis in Gram-positive bacteria. Lineage: Bacteria; Bacillati; Bacillota; Negativicutes; Veillonellales; Veillonellaceae. RNAcentral also lists the same sequence under 1 other name. The record is from RNAcentral.